RNAcentral lists this ribosomal RNA (254 nucleotides) under uncultured bacterium. RNAcentral's name for it is "partial 16S ribosomal RNA". It matches the Rfam family "Bacterial small subunit ribosomal RNA", at positions 524 to 776 of the family's 1533-position model. The record is from RNAcentral.
CACGUAGGGGGCGAGCGUUGUCCGGAUUUAUUGGGCGUAAAGAGCUCGUAGGCGGCUAAGUAAGUCAGGUGUGAAAACUCCAGGCUCAACCUGGAGACGCCACCUGAUACUGCUUUGGCUAGAGUCCGGUAGGGGAGCAUGGAAUUCCUGGUGUAGCGGUGAAAUGCGCAGAUAUCAGGAGGAACACCAAUGGCGAAGGCAGAUCUCUGGGCCGUAACUGACGCUGAGGAGCGAAAGCAUGGGGAGCGAACAGG